AUCGAACGCUGGCGGCAGGCCUAACACAUGCAAGUCGAACGAGUGGCGGACGGGUGAGGAAUGUCUGGGAAACUGCCUGAUGGAGGGGGAUAAAUACUGGAAACGGUAGAUAAUACCGCAAACCAUCAGAUGUGCCCGGAUGGGAUUAGCUAGCUGGUGGGGAAACGGCUACCCAAGGAGACGAUCCCUAGCUGGUCUGAGAGGAUGACCAGCCACACUGGAACUGAGACAUGGUCCAGACUCCUACGGGAGGCAGCAGUGGGGAAUAUUGCACAAUGGGCGCAAGCCUGAUGCAGCCAUGCCGCGUGUGUGAAGAAGGCCUUCGGAUUGUAAAGUCCUUUCAGCGGGGAGGCGUUACCCGCAGAAGAAGCACCGGCUAACUCCGUGCCAGCAGCCGCGGUAAUAC
Molecule: ribosomal RNA, 406 nt
Filed under: uncultured bacterium
Lineage: Bacteria
Description: partial 16S ribosomal RNA
Rfam family: Bacterial small subunit ribosomal RNA
Source: RNAcentral